CCGUGCCACCUUCAGUUCCAGUAGCUGUAGUUUCCUCUGCAAUGCCCUGUUUUCUUUCUGGCUUUGAGUUAUUUCCAAACGAAACACUGCAUACUCGUCGUCUACGACUUUACAGAUCUCUGCCACGGCUGCAUUCGCUAGCACCUCCAUGAUGGAGGCUAUUUGAGUGUGAAAAACCACACCGUCACAGGUUGCCAUUGUUAGUUAACGUCAGCAACUAGCAAGCUAGCGUUACGAAGAUAACAUAUGAACAAAGUCCUGUCUCCAACGUGAAUUACACACUACCUGUGACAGUGGCAACGAUGAUGAUUAUGGACAUGGUCUUUUGCCUGCUAAUGCCUGCAAUGCAGUGAAGAAAACGAUAUGACAACAAUAACGUCUAAUGUAACUGUCUGGUGAGUAUGCAGGCCAUGGAAGAACUGGGACAUUUCAGCUUCCAGGAAUUGUGUACAGAUCCUACGGUAUCUCUGGGCAUUCAAGUCACGAUAAAAUGCAAUUCUGUUCCUUGUCCAUAGCUUAUGCCUGCCCAUACCAUAACCCCACUGCCACCAUGGGGCACUCUGUUCACAACGUUGAAUCAGCAAACCACGCACCCACACAAACUCCCUUAACUUGAGGCAUAUGUGGAAUUGUGUUGUGUGACAAAACUGCACAUUUUAGAGUGGCAUUUUACGUGGUCUGUGGAGACAAUAAAAUGCCACUCAUCACCUGUGUGAUGAUCACUGGACAUGUGGCUGGAUUAUCUUGGCUAAGUAGAAAUGCUCACUAACGGAAGUAAACAAAUUUGUGCACAACAUUUUAGAGAAAUAAGCUUUUUGUGCAUAUUGAACAUUUCUGGGAUAUUUUUCAGCUCAUGAAACAUGGGACCAACACUUUACAUGUUGCGUUUUAUAUUUCUGUUCGGUGUAAAUGCAUAUUCCCAUUAAAUUGAUUGAGAUUAAUUAAAUUAUUGUCAUGGA
This is a long non-coding RNA of Salmo salar (Atlantic salmon), 959 nucleotides long. RefSeq lists it as uncharacterized. NCBI's taxonomy places the organism in Eukaryota, Metazoa, Chordata, Actinopteri, Salmoniformes, Salmonidae. The record is from RefSeq and is a predicted model, not a curated record.